UUGUAUGGCCAUACCACCCUGAACGCUCCUGAUCUUGGAAGCUAAGUUGGGUUUAGUUAGGCUAAUACUGGGAUGGGAAAAGACAAGCUUACUGCUAAAUAUC
RNAcentral lists this ribosomal RNA (103 nucleotides) under Ochotona princeps (American pika). Lineage: Eukaryota; Metazoa; Chordata; Mammalia; Lagomorpha; Ochotonidae. The record is from RNAcentral.